RNAcentral lists this ribosomal RNA (583 nucleotides) under uncultured bacterium. RNAcentral's name for it is "bacterial SSU rRNA". It matches the Rfam family "Bacterial small subunit ribosomal RNA", at positions 338 to 911 of the family's 1533-position model. The record is from RNAcentral.
CCUACGGGAGGCAGCAGUAGGGAAUCUUCCGCAAUGGACGAAAGUCUGACGGAGCAACGCCGCGUGAGUGAUGAAGGCUUUCGGGUCGUAAAACUCUGUUGUUAGGGAAGAACAAGUGCUAGUUGAAUAAGCUGGCACCUUGACGGUACCUAACCAGAAAGCCACGGCUAACUACGUGCCAGCAGCCGCGGUAAUACGUAGGUGGCAAGCGUUAUCCGGAAUUAUUGGGCGUAAAGCGCGCGCAGGUGGUUUCUUAAGUCUGAUGUGAAAGCCCACGGCUCAACCGUGGAGGGUCAUUGGAAACUGGGAGACUUGAGUGCAGAAGAGGAAAGUGGAAUUCCAUGUGUAGCGGUGAAAUGCGUAGAGAUAUGGAGGAACACCAGUGGCGAAGGCGACUUUCUGGUCUGUAACUGACACUGAGGCGCGAAAGCGUGGGGAGCAAACAGGAUUAGAUACCCUGGUAGUCCACGCCGUAAACGAUGAGUGCUAAGUGUUAGAGGGUUUCCGCCCUUUAGUGCUGAAGUUAACGCAUUAAGCACUCCGCCUGGGGAGUACGGCCGCAAGGCUGAAACUCAAAUGAAUU